GACGACGGCUGGCGGCGUGCUUAAUACAUGCAAGUCGAGCGAGGUUACUGUUUGGAUCCCUUCGGGGUGAAGAAGCUUUAACCUAGCGGCGGACGGGUGAGUAACGCGUGGGUAACCUACCCCAAAGUCCGGGAUAACCAGCGGGAAACCGCUGCUAAUACCGGAUGCCUUUACCUUGGGGCAUCUUGAGGUAAAGAAAGGUAACGCUUUGGGAUGGGCCCGCGUCCCAUUAGCUAGUUGGUGAGGUAACGGCUCACCAAGGCGACGAUGGGUAGCCGGCCUGAGAGGGUGGACGGCCACACUGGGACUGAGACACGGCCCAGACUCCUACGGGAGGCAGCAGUAGGGAAUAUUGCGCAAUGGACGGAAGUCUGACCUAGCGACGCCGCGUGAGGGAAGAAGGCCUUCGGGUUGUAAACCUCUGUCAUGGGGGAAGAAGGAAGUGACGGUACCCCAAGAGGAAGCCCCUGCUAACUACGUG
RNAcentral lists this ribosomal RNA (481 nucleotides) under uncultured bacterium. RNAcentral describes it as "bacterial SSU rRNA". It matches the Rfam family "Bacterial small subunit ribosomal RNA", at positions 28 to 507 of the family's 1533-position model. The record is from RNAcentral.